CUGAUGCGUUGUUGGGUAGGGGAGCGUUCUGUAAGCCUGCGAAGGUGUGCUGUGAGGCAUGCUGGAGGUAUCAGAAGUGCGAAUGCUGACAUAAGUAACGAUAAAGCGGGUGAAAAGCCCGCUCGCCGGAAGACCAAGGGUUCCUGUCCAACGUUAAUCGGGGCAGGGUGAGUCGACCCCUAAGGCGAGGCCGAAAGGCGUAGUCGAUGGGAAACAGGUUAAUAUUCCUGUACUUGGUGUUACUGCGAAGGGGGGACGGAGAAGGCUAUGUUGGCCGGGCGACGGUUGUCCCGGUUUAAGCGUGUAGGCUGGUUUUCCAGGCAAAUCCGGAAAACUAAGGCUGAGGCGUGAUGACGAGGCACUACGGUGCUGAAGCAACAAAUGCCCUGCUUCCAGGAAAAGCCUCUAAGCAUCAGGUAACAUCAAAUCGUACCCCAAACCGACACAGGUGGUCAGGUAGAGAAUACCAAGGCGCUUGAGAGAACUCGGGUGAAGGAACUAGGCAAAAUGGUGCCGUAACUUCGGGAGAAGGCACGCUGAUAUGUAGGUGAAGCGACUUGCUCGUGGAGCUGAAAUCAGUCGAAGAUACCAGCUGGCUGCAACUGUUUAUUAAAAACACAGCACUGUGCAAACACGAAAGUGGACGUAUACGGUGUGACGCCUGCCCGGUGCCGGAAGGUUAAUUGAUGGGGUUAGCGCAAGCGAAGCUCUUGAUCGAAGCCCCGGUAAACGGCGGCCGUAACUAUAACGGUCCUAAGGUAGCGAAAUUCCUUGUCGGGUAAGUUCCGACCUGCACGAAUGGCGUAAUGAUGGCCAGGCUGUCUCCACCCGAGACUCAGUGAAAUUGAACUCGCUGUGAAGAUGCAGUGUACCCGCGGCAAGACGGAAAGACCCCGUGAACCUUUACUAUAGCUUGACACUGAACAUUGAGCCUUGAUGUGUAGGAUAGGUGGGAGGCUUUGAAGUGUGGACGCCAGUCUGCAUGGAGCCGACCUUGAAAUACCACCCUUUAAUGUUUGAUGUUCUAACGUUGACCCGUAAUCCGGGUUGCGGACAGUGUCUGGUGGGUAGUUUGACUGGGGCGGUCUCCUCCUAAAGAGUAACGGAGGAGCACGAAGGUUGGCUAAUCCUGGUCGGACAUCAGGAGGUUAGUGCAAUGGCAUAAGCCAGCUUGACUGCGAGCGUGACGGCGCGAGCAGGUGCGAAAGCAGGUCAUAGUGAUCCGGUGGUUCUGAAUGGAAGGGCCAUCGCUCAACGGAUAAAAGGUACUCCGGGGAUAACAGGCUGAUACCGCCCAAGAGUUCAUAUCGACGGCGGUGUUUGGCACCUCGAUGUCGGCUCAUCACAUCCUGGGGCUGAAGUAGGUCCCAAGGGUAUGGCUGUUCGCCAUUUAAAGUGGUACGCGAGCUGGGUUUAGAACGUCGUGAGACAGUUCGGUCCCUA
This 1443-nucleotide ribosomal RNA is filed under the name Escherichia coli. Its description in RNAcentral is "partial 23S ribosomal RNA". It matches the Rfam family "Bacterial large subunit ribosomal RNA", at positions 1213 to 2640 of the family's 2925-position model. Lineage: Bacteria; Pseudomonadati; Pseudomonadota; Gammaproteobacteria; Enterobacterales; Enterobacteriaceae. The record is from RNAcentral.